Molecule: RNA transcript, 1063 nt
Organism: Drosophila busckii
Lineage: Eukaryota; Metazoa; Arthropoda; Insecta; Diptera; Drosophilidae
Gene name: CG43308
Exons: 4
Source: RefSeq, a predicted model, not a curated record
CCCUGUGUUUAGUUAGCACACAGUUUGUUACACAUACACAGAACACAAAAUAAGUUUGGAACUAAUUUAAAAUGAUACAGCUGCAAUUUAUGCGCAUUGCUUGUCUUAUAAGCUUCAUAUUGAUUGCUAAUGGGCUGGCAUUGGUCUCUGAGCUAUUGCCGGUUAGGACUUUGCAGCAUAGAAACUUUGAAAUUGAUCCGCUGCAAGCCGCAGCAAACAAUCUGUUAAUGUUUGCCAGGCAUGGCGCGCGCAAGAGACCAACGGAGAAGCAGCUUAAAAUAAAUAAUCCAAUUAAGUUGACCACACGAUCAAUUAAAUUGUGGGCCAGGCCACAGGCAGUGGAUACCACACCUAAUGAGGACAAGACGGGGCAGGGCAAGCUCAAUGAGGACAAACCCAAUGAGAACAAGCCCCAAGAAACAAGCACAAGCACGGGAAAUUCGGAGACAUAUGGUACAGAGUGGACAAUAUCGGUGCCAAAAUUUCAAGGCGAUGACAUGGGCAACUGGGUGUAUAAUCCGUGGGGUGUUACCUUUGGCAAAAUCUGGGAAGACACGCGAUUUCAACAAGGCGGACGCUGGACAAUUCCUCGCAUGCGCAUCGACUCGGAAUUAGCAAAGCGAUAUUAUCCAUACGAUUUUCCGCAGUCCACCGUAUGUCAAGGCAGAUCUACGAUUUAUGACAAGGGCUGGAACACACAAUGGCUCUUUCCACACAACUAUCGCUAUGUGCAGCCGGCGCGAAAAAUUAUGAAGGAUCUGCGUAAAGAAUUGUACCACGAAGGAGAUUCGGAGCAGUGUCAUACCAAAAAUUUUACCGAUUGGCAGGAAUAUCAAGAGUGCGCUGCGAAACGCAAUCAGCGCCUGGAGUUCUUAAUACCAAAUUAUCCACAGAAACAGGUCAGGCCCGACUGGGAUUAACGUGGCCAUGGCAACGACAUGGCAACCCUUACAAAUAACUAACAAGCAAGCAAGCAACUAAAUAACUCACCGUGUCCAUUGACACCUUCAAGGCCUACUUCAGCAGCCAGACUGCCAAGCUGCCCAAAGUCAGCGAUAAAUCA